Long non-coding RNA from Cyprinus carpio (common carp), 2427 nucleotides. NCBI's taxonomy places the organism in Eukaryota, Metazoa, Chordata, Actinopteri, Cypriniformes, Cyprinidae. The record is from Ensembl.
AUGCUCCAUCCAUUCCACCCUGUUAUACUCCAUUCCAUCCUGUUAUGCUCCAUCCAUACCACCCUGCAAUGCUCCAUCCAUUCGACCCUGUUAUACUCCAUUCCAUCCUGUUAUACUUCACCCAUUCCACCCUGUUAUACUCCAUUCCAUCCUGUUAUGCUCCAUCCAUUCUAUCCUGUUAUGCUCGCUCCAUUCCACCCUGUUAUGCUCCAUUCCAUCCUGUUAUACUCUAUCCAUUCCACUCUGUUAUACUCCAUUCCAUCCUCUUAUACUCCAUCCAUUUCACCCUGUUAUGCUCCAUCCAUUCCACCCUGUUAUGCUCCAUUCCUUCCUGUUAUGCUCCAUCCAUUCCAUCCUGUUAUACUCCAUCCAUUCCACCCUGUUAUGCUCCAUUCAUUCCAUCCUGUUAUACUCUAUUCCACCCUGGUAUACUCCAUUCCAUCCUGUUUUGCCCCAUCCAUUCCACCCUGUUAUGCUCCAUUCCCUCCUGUUAUGCUCCAUCCAUUCCACCCUGUUAUCCUCCAUUCCAUCCUGUUCUGCUCCAUCCAUUCUAUCCUGUUAUGCUCGCCCCAUUCCACCCUGUUAUGCUCCAUUCCAUCCUGUUAUACUCUAUCCAUUCCACUCUGUUAUCCUCCAUUCCAUCCUCUUAUACUCCUUCCAUUUCACCCUGUUAUACUCCAUCCAUUCCACCCUGUUAUCCUCCAUCCAUUCCAUCCUGUUAUACUCCAUCCAUUCCACCGUUAUGCUCCAUAUAUUCCACCCUGUUAUAUUCCAUUCCAUCCUGUUAUGCUCCAUCCAUUCCACCCUGGUAUCCUCCAUUCCAUCCUGUUUUGCUCCAUCCCUUCCACCCUGUUAUGCUCCAUUCCAUCCUGUUAUGCUCCCUCCCUUCCCCUCUUUUAUGCUCCAUCCCUUCCCGUCAUCUACCCUCCAUUCCUCCCUGUUAUGCUCCAUUCCAUCCUGUUCUGCUCCAUCCAUUCCAUCCUGUUAUGCUCCAUCCCUUCCACCCUGUUAUGCUCCAUUCCAUCCUGUUAUACUCUAUCCAUUCCACUCUGUUAUCCUCCAUUCCAUCCUCUUAUACUCCUUCCAUUUCACCCUGUUAUACUCCAUCCAUUCCACCCUGUUAUGCUCCAUCCAUUCCACCCUGUUAUUCUCCAUUCCAUCCUGUUAUGCUCCAUCCAUUCUAUCCUGUUAUGCUCGCUCCAUUCCCCCCUGUUAUGCUCCAUUCCAUCCUGUUAUGCUCCCUCCCUUCCCCUCUUUUAUGCUCCAUCCCUUCCCGUCAUCUACCCUCCAUUCCUCCCUGUUAUGCUCCAUUCCAUCCUGUUAUGCUCCCUCCCUUCCCCUCUUUUAUGCUCCAUCCCUUCCCGUCAUCUACCCUCCAUUCCUCCCUGUUAUGCUCCAUUCCAUCCUGUUCUGCUCCAUCCAUUCUAUCCUGUUAUGCUCGCUCCAUUCCCCCCUGUUAUGCUCCAUUCCAUCCUGUUAUGCUCUAUCCAUUCCACUCUGUUAUACUCCAUUCCAUCCUCUUAUGCUCCAUCCAUUUCACCCUGUUAUGCUUCAUCCCUUCCACCCUGUUAUGCUCCAUUCCAUCCUGUUAUACUCCAUCCAUUCCACCCUGUUAUGCUCCAUUCAUUCCAUCCUGUUAUACUCUAUUCCACCCUGGUAUACUCCAUUCCAUCCUGUUUUGCUCCAUCCAUUCCACCCUGUUAUGCUCCAUCCAUUCCAUCCUGUUAUGCUCCAUCCACUUCACCCUGUUAUACUCCAUUCCAUCCUGUUAUACUCCAUCCCUUCCACCCUGUUACGCUCCAUUCAUUCCAUCCUGUUAUACUCUAUUCCCCCCCGGUAUUCUCCAUUCCACCCUCUCUUGCACCAUCCCUUUCUCCCUGUUCUGCUCCAUUCCAUCCUGUUAUGCUCCAUCCAUUCCAUCCUGUUAUGCUCCAUUCCACCCUGGUAUACUCCAUUCCACCCUGUUAUGGUCCAUCCAUUCCACCCUGUUAUACUCCAUUCCAUCCUGUUAUGCUCCAUCCAUUCCAGCCUGUUAUGCUCCAUCCAUUCCAUCCUGUUAUGCUCCAUCCAUUCUACCCUGUUAUACUCCAUUCCACCCUUUUAUGCUCCAUCCAUUCCACCCUGUUAUGCUCCAUCCAUUCCACCGUUAUACUCCAUUCCAUCCUGUUAUACUCCAUCCAUUCCACCCUGUUAUGCUCCAUCCAUUCCACCGUUAUGCUCCAUAUAUUCCACCCUGUUAUACUCCAUUCAAUCCUGUUAUGCUCCAUCCAUUCCACCCUGUUAUGCUCCAUCUAUUCCACCCUGUUAUACUCCAUUCCAUCCUGUUAUGCGCCAUCCAUUCCACCCUGUUACACUCCAUUCCAUCCUGUUAUGCUCGCUCCGUUCCACCCUGUUAUGCUAGCUCCACACAAAUUUUUUUACUAUUAG